RNAcentral lists this ribosomal RNA (406 nucleotides) under uncultured bacterium. Its description in RNAcentral is "partial 16S ribosomal RNA". It matches the Rfam family "Bacterial small subunit ribosomal RNA", at positions 28 to 526 of the family's 1533-position model. The record is from RNAcentral.
GAUGAACGCUAGCUACAGGCUUAACACAUGCAAGUCGAGGGACCGGCGCACGGGUGAGUAACACGUAUCCAACCUGCCCUUUACUCGGGGAUAGCCUUUCGCAAGAAAGAUUAAUACCCGAUAUAAAGGAUGGGGAUGCGUUCCAUUAGGUUGUUGGUGAGGUAACGGCUCACCAAGCCUUCGUUGGAGAGUGGUUAUGAGAGGAAGGUCCACCACAAUGGAGAUGAGACACGGUCCAAAUCACUAGGGGAGGCAGCAGUGAGGAAUAGUGGUGAAUGGGCGCUAGCCUGACCCAGCCAAGUAGCGUGAAGGAUGAAGGGUUAUGGGUCGGAAACUUCUUGUAGAUAAGAAUAUGUAUUAGAUGAAUAAGGAUCGGCUAACUCCGUGCCAGCAGCCGCGGUAAUAC